Non-coding RNA from Vicia faba (fava bean), 231 nucleotides. The record is from the annotation of a GenBank genome assembly. Lineage: Eukaryota; Viridiplantae; Streptophyta; Magnoliopsida; Fabales; Fabaceae.
AUGAUCGAAGGAGAUAUAGUAGCAUCAUUGAGCGAUAUCAUGAAUGAGAUGGGUCGAUUGAAUGUAAAUUCGAAGCAGAGAUGUGAAGCAAGGUUGAAGCGAAGAGGUGAGAUUGUUUGCGGCGGUUGGAUGUUUGGUGGGAUCAUAGAAGAAGAUGGUUACAGUGGAAGCUGCGGCGCAAGUGUGAGAGUAGGAGAUGAACGUAGAUAUAGAAGACGAUAUGAGAGAUAA